CAGCAGCCACGGUAAUACAGAGGGUGCGAGCGUUAAUCGGAUUUACUGGGCGUAAAGCGUGAGUAGGCGGCUUCUUAAGUCGGAUGUGAAAUCCCUGAGCUUAACUUAGGAAUUGCAUUCGAUACUGGGAAGCUAGAGUAUGGGAGAGGAUGGUAGAAUUCCAGGUGUAGCGGUGAAAUGCGUAGAGAUCUGGAGGAAUACCGAUGGCGAAGGCAGCCAUCUGGCCUAAUACUGACGCUGAGGUACGAAAGCAUGGGGAGCAAACAGGAUUAGAUACCCCGGUAGUCCCUGUCUCUUAUAC
This 301-nucleotide ribosomal RNA is filed under the name uncultured bacterium. RNAcentral's name for it is "partial 16S ribosomal RNA". It matches the Rfam family "Bacterial small subunit ribosomal RNA", at positions 509 to 807 of the family's 1533-position model. The record is from RNAcentral.